Megachile rotundata (alfalfa leafcutting bee) is the source of this 545-nucleotide long non-coding RNA. RefSeq lists it as uncharacterized. The record is from RefSeq and is a predicted model, not a curated record. Lineage: Eukaryota; Metazoa; Arthropoda; Insecta; Hymenoptera; Megachilidae.
UGACGGCCACGUAGGGAAAUAAAAAUAGUGUUCACCCUUGUAUUCUAUCACGGAAAACGAUACCUCAUAAUACUUUAAUCGUGUUUCAGAGGAUACAUAGCGGGAUUGCGAUCUACGAGCGUCACAGCACAGGCCCUCGGGCUCCUCUUUGUGGACCGUAAGGCCCAAUGCAUCACAGGUAAACAGGAUCUCAGAAAUCGGAAGAAGUAGCCUGCCUCGAACGGGGCAGGUAGAAAGAGGAAGCAAUGAGCAUGAAAUGAGGAUAUCCUGGAUAAUUGCAAUUUUAAUAUGUGUUAUUAUAUACAAUAAACAUUUUCACUAGGAGUCCAUGUGUUAACUGAAAAAGGAAUGUAACGUCAGAAUAUGUAAUAACAGAGCCGCCGCUAGAGUUUACGGGCCCUGAGGCACAAGUCGAUGUUUAUUUUCAACGCGGUUGGAAGUUGCGUUAGGUCAGUGAUGAGCACUGAUGAGAACAACUCUCAUUAUAUUGCAAUGGAAAAGUUAGUUUCUAACUCUGAGAUUUUUAAAAUUUCAAGAUUUGUAAA